CACGUAGGGUGCGAGCGUUGUCCGGAAUUAUUGGGCGUAAAGAGCUUGUAGGCGGUUUGUCGCGUCUGCUGUGAAAAUCCGGGGCUCAACCCCGGACUUGCAGUGGGUACGGGCAGACUAGAGUGUGGUAGGGGAGACUGGAAUUCCUGGUGUAGCGGUGGAAUGCGCAGAUAUCAGGAGGAACACCGAUGGCGAAGGCAGGUCUCUGGGCCACUACUGACGCUGAGAAGCGAAAGCAUGGGGAGCAAACAGG
This 253-nucleotide ribosomal RNA is filed under the name uncultured bacterium. RNAcentral describes it as "partial 16S ribosomal RNA". It matches the Rfam family "Bacterial small subunit ribosomal RNA", at positions 524 to 776 of the family's 1533-position model. The record is from RNAcentral.